This 75-nucleotide microRNA precursor is filed under the name Myotis lucifugus (little brown bat). Its description in RNAcentral is "mir-9193 microRNA precursor family". It matches the Rfam family "mir-9193 microRNA precursor family". Lineage: Eukaryota; Metazoa; Chordata; Mammalia; Chiroptera; Vespertilionidae. The record is from Rfam by way of RNAcentral.
CUCGGAGGAGGGGUGGUCCCUCAGACCAGACUGCUAGAGGGUGCAGGCCAGGCCAAGGGGCCACACCAGUGCACG